This 253-nucleotide ribosomal RNA is filed under the name uncultured bacterium. RNAcentral's name for it is "partial 16S ribosomal RNA". It matches the Rfam family "Bacterial small subunit ribosomal RNA", at positions 524 to 776 of the family's 1533-position model. The record is from RNAcentral.
GACGUAGGGGGCGAGCGUUGUCCGGAUUUAUUGGGCGUAAAGCGUGCGCAGGCGGUUUUGUAAGCCAGAUGUGAAAUCCCCGGGCUCAACCUGGGAAUGGCAUUUGGGACUGCAAGGCUUGAGUGCGGCAGAGGAGACUGGAAUUCCUGGUGUAGCAGUGAAAUGCGUAGAUAUCAGGAGGAAUACCGAUGGCGAAGGCAGGUCUCUGGGCUGACACUGACGCUCAUGCACGAAAGCGUGGGGAGCAAACAGG